This 570-nucleotide unclassified non-coding RNA is filed under the name Zea mays. RNAcentral's name for it is "misc RNA Zm00001eb030500". The record is from RNAcentral. Lineage: Eukaryota; Viridiplantae; Streptophyta; Magnoliopsida; Poales; Poaceae.
CUGCCAUGGUCGCCGCAGGUCUCUGCUCCUUCCCCAAGCUCGCCCUCAUCUCCCAGGUCGCCACUUUCCUCUCCCUGCCCACAUCAUCGGAUUCUGCUCGCUGCGUGCUUGCCGGCAUGUCCGGGCGUGGCCCUGCAGAUUCAUCAUAGGUACCUCCUCGAACUCCUCCACACUGGUUGUGGACGGCAUUGGUAUCCCUCUGCUCCAGCAGCGUUGCGGCGCCCCGAGCUCCUCCUCCGCGUGCUGCCAUGGUCGGGGUCAGUCUCAUCCGACAACGCCAUGACUUCCACUCCGCUCUGUGGCGAGCAGCCCCUGCACCAUCCAUGCUCGUCGUGUGUUCGAGAGUUCACGCGCAAGUCUCUGCGUGGUGGCCGUGUCGCUGCAAGCUUGUGCCACGCACCCGGGCAUCCCUUCAUCGCUGCACAUUGUCCGCAUCGGCGCAGCAGCCCUCCCGUUCAUUCUCCACUCCCCUCGUCGCGUGUCAUCAAUCUCGUGCUUGCUGCGCAUCCCAUCCUCGUCGUCGUCAAAACCCUUGCUAGAUGUUGUCGCUGCGCCUCGCGCGACACAUGA